UCCGAAUUGGUGUAGUGGCUAACAUUUGACGCUCUCAAGUCGCUGGUACUCGAGCUAGCUUCUGGACGAUCCGUCAAGCCCGGGGUUCGAUUCCCCGAUUCGGAG
This is a non-coding RNA of Biscogniauxia sp. FL1348, 105 nucleotides long. Lineage: Eukaryota; Fungi; Ascomycota; Sordariomycetes; Xylariales; Xylariaceae. The record is from the annotation of a GenBank genome assembly.